This 253-nucleotide ribosomal RNA is filed under the name uncultured bacterium. RNAcentral describes it as "partial 16S ribosomal RNA". It matches the Rfam family "Bacterial small subunit ribosomal RNA", at positions 524 to 776 of the family's 1533-position model. The record is from RNAcentral.
UACGUAGGGUGCAAGCGUUGUCCGGAAUUAUUGGGCGUAAAGAGCUCGUAGGCGGUUUGUCGCGUCUGCUGUGAAAACGCGAGGCUCAACCUCGCGCCUGCAGUGGGUACGGGCAGACUAGAGUGCGGUAGGGGAGAUUGGAAUUCCUGGUGUAGCGGUGGAAUGCGCAGAUAUCAGGAGGAACACCGAUGGCGAAGGCAGAUCUCUGGGCCGUUACUGACGCUGAGGAGCGAAAGCAUGGGGAGCGAACAGG